GAUGAACGCUAGCUACAGGCUUAACACAUGCAAGUCGAGGGGAAACGAUAUUGGAAGCUUGCUUCCGAUAGGCGUCGACCGGCGCACGGGUGAGUAACGCGUAUCCAACCUGCCCAUCACUUGGGGAUAACCUUGCGAAAGUAAGACUAAUACCCAAUGACGUCUCUAGAAGACAUCUGAAAGAGAUUAAAGAUUUAUCGGUGAUGGAUGGGGAUGCGUCUGAUUAGCUUGUUGGCGGGGUAACGGCCCACCAAGGCGACGAUCAGUAGGGGUUCUGAGGGGAAGGUCCCCCACAUUGGAGCUGAGACACGGUCCAAACGCCUACGGGAGGCAGCAGUGGGGAAUAUUGGUAAAUGGGCGAGAGCCUGAACCAGCCAAGUAGCGUGCAGGAUGACGGCCCUAUGGGUUGUAAACUGCUUUUAUAAGGGAAUAAAGUGGGAGUCGUGACUCCUUUUGCAUGUACCUUAUGAAUAAGGACCGGCUAAUUCCGUGCCAGCCGCCGCAGUAA
Molecule: ribosomal RNA, 508 nt
Filed under: uncultured bacterium
Lineage: Bacteria
Description: partial 16S ribosomal RNA
Rfam family: Bacterial small subunit ribosomal RNA
Source: RNAcentral